RNAcentral lists this ribosomal RNA (292 nucleotides) under uncultured bacterium. Its description in RNAcentral is "partial 16S ribosomal RNA". It matches the Rfam family "Bacterial small subunit ribosomal RNA", at positions 505 to 796 of the family's 1533-position model. The record is from RNAcentral.
GUGCCAGCAGCCGCGGUAAAACGUAGGAGGCAAGCGUUAUCCGGAGUUACUGGGCGUAAAGCGCGUGCAGGCGGAUUGAUAAGUUACUCAUGAAAGCUCCUGGCUAAACUAGGAGAGGUUGAGUAAAACUGUCAGUCUAGAGUAGAUGAGAGGUAGGUAGAAUUCCUUGUGUAGUGGUGAAAUGCGUAGAUAUAAGGAAGAAUACCGGUGGCGAAGGCGACCUACUGGCAUCUAACUGACGCUCAGACGCGAAAGCAUGGGUAGCGAACGGGAUUAGAAACCCUAGUAGUCC